This 253-nucleotide ribosomal RNA is filed under the name uncultured bacterium. Its description in RNAcentral is "partial 16S ribosomal RNA". It matches the Rfam family "Bacterial small subunit ribosomal RNA", at positions 524 to 776 of the family's 1533-position model. The record is from RNAcentral.
UACGGAGGGUGCGAGCGUUGUUCGGAAUUAUUGGGCGUAAAGCGCGUGUAGGCGGUUACUUAAGUCUGAUGUGAAAGCCCCGGGCUUAACUUGGGAAGUGCGCUUAAUACGGAUGGGCUUGAGUCCGGAAGGGGGUGGCGGAAUUCCCAGUGUAGAGGUGAAAUGCGUAGAUAUCGGGAGGAACACCAGUGGCGAAGGCGGCCACCUGGACAGUAACUGACGCUGAGGUGCGAAAGCGUGGGGAGCAAACAGG